Molecule: long non-coding RNA, 1200 nt
Organism: Oncorhynchus keta (chum salmon)
Lineage: Eukaryota; Metazoa; Chordata; Actinopteri; Salmoniformes; Salmonidae
Exons: 6
Source: RefSeq, a predicted model, not a curated record
GGGCAGGGCACUACUUUAGACCAGAGCCCUAUGGGGUAGGGCACUACUUUAGACCAGAUCCCUAUGGAGUAGUGCACUACGUAGUGAAGAAGAAGGUGCCAUUUGGGAAACAGAAAAAUCUUGCCUGGCCAGGAACAAGUCAUUCCUCCAUGGUAACGUUGUGGUUACGGAUCGGAGAACACAACAGUGAUGCAUCAUGGUCCGUUUCCUGUGUUCUAUUCAGGAGGACUUUGUUGUGGCGAAACAAAACCACAGAGACCAUUAACUUCCCAGCUACGCCUCACCCAGGUCACAUGACAGGGGCUUGGACUCUACAAAUCUUUCAUUGGGAGUAUUUUAACCUCUUGUGUUGUUUGGUGGUUUGGUAGUAUCGCUGUCAGACAGAGAAAUAUGUUGAGAAGGAUUAUAGCCACAGACAGCAAGGUACUAGGAGACAGACAGACAGGCUUGAUGAGAUCUUUAAGGGCCCUCAGCAAGGUACUAGGAGACAGACAGACAGGCUUGAUGAGAUCUUUAAGGUCAGGGCCCUCAGCAAGGUACUAGGAGACAGGCAGACUGUGUUCCCUUCACUAAGGUGUGAUAUCUCUCCUAACCAGCUGGUUAAUGUCACUAAGGUGUGAUAUCUCUCCUAACCAGCUGGUUAAUGUUCCCUUCACUAAGGUGUGAUAUCUCUCCUAACCAGCUGGUUAAUGUCACUAAGGUGUGAUAUCUCUCCUAACCAGCUGGUUAAUGUUCCCUUCACUAAGGUGUGAUAUCUCUCCUAACCAGCUGGUUAAUGUCACUAAGGUGUGAUAUCUCUCCUAACCAGCUGGUUAAUGUCACUAAGGUGUGAUAUCUCUCCUAACCAGCUGGUUAAUGUUCCCUUCACUAAGGUGUGAUAUCUCUCCUAACCAGCUGGUUAAUGUCACUAAGGUGUGAUAUCUCUCCUAACCAGCUGGUUAAUGUUCCCUUCACUAAGGUGUGAUAUCUCUCCUAACCAGCUGGUUAAUGUCACUAAGGUGUGAUAUCUCUCCUAACCAGCUGGUUAAUGUUCCCUUCACUAAGGUGUGAUAUCUCUCCUAACCAGCUGGUUAAUGUCACUAAGGUGUGAUAUCUCUCCUAACCAGCUGGUUAAUGUUCCCUUCACUAAGGUGUGAUAUCUCUCCUAACCAGCUGGUUAAUGUCACUAAGGUGUGAUAUCUCUCCUAACCAGCUGGUUAA